This 253-nucleotide ribosomal RNA is filed under the name uncultured bacterium. RNAcentral describes it as "partial 16S ribosomal RNA". It matches the Rfam family "Bacterial small subunit ribosomal RNA", at positions 524 to 776 of the family's 1533-position model. The record is from RNAcentral.
UACGAAGGGGGCUAGCGUUGCUCGGAACCACUGGGCGUAAAGGGAGCGUAGGCGGGAGCCUAAGUUGGGUGUUUAAUUCCGGGGCCCAACCCCGGGCGUGCACUCAAAACUGGGUUUCUUGAAUAGGGGAGAGGUCGGUGGAAUUGGAGGUGUAGCGGUGGAAUGCGUAGAGAUCUCCAAGAACACCCGUUGCGAAGGCGGCCGACUGGACCCAUAUUGACGCUGAGGCUCGAAAGCAUGGGGAGCAAACAGG